AACGAACGCUGGCGGCAUGCCUAACACAUGCAAGUCGAACGAGACCUUCGGGUCUAGUGGCGCAAGGGUGCGUAACGCGUGGGAACCUGCCCUUAGGUUCGGAAUAACUCCCCGAAAGGGGUGCUAAUACCGGAUAAUGUCUUCGGACCAAAGAUUUAUCGCCUUUGGAUGGGCCCGCGUUGGAUUAGCUAGUUGGUAGGGUAAAAGCCUACCAAGGCGACGAUCCAUAGCUGUGCUGAGAGGAUGAUCAGCCACACUGGGACUGGGACACGGCCCAGACUCCUACGGGAGGCAGCGGGGGGGAAUAUGGGACAGGGGACGAAAGCCUGAUCCAGCAAGGCGGGGUGAGGGAUGAGGCCCUUGGGGUUGUAAAGCUCUUUACCCGGGAUGAUAAUGACAGUACCGGGAGAAUAAGCACCGGCUAACUCCGUG
This 432-nucleotide ribosomal RNA is filed under the name uncultured bacterium. Its description in RNAcentral is "partial 16S ribosomal RNA". It matches the Rfam family "Bacterial small subunit ribosomal RNA", at positions 29 to 507 of the family's 1533-position model. The record is from RNAcentral.